Molecule: non-coding RNA, 2183 nt
Organism: Triticum urartu
Lineage: Eukaryota; Viridiplantae; Streptophyta; Magnoliopsida; Poales; Poaceae
Source: RefSeq, a predicted model, not a curated record
AAAAGACCUCCAGUUUCUCCCGACCGAACCCGCGCUCCUCGUCUUGCUCCUCCGACAGAAUCCCCAGCUCCGCUGCUCCCCGCCGCCGUAGCUUCGCUCCUCCACGCCGCCGCAGCUGCCCUGUCCCCGCCGCCGCAGCUCCCCCGCUCCCCCGCUCCCCUGCUGCAGAUGCCUCCUGCUCCACCGCCGCAACUGCCACUUGCCUGCUUCCCCAAGCUCCCCCUUCAUCAUAAAAAUGUUCGAUUUCCCCAGCUACCGCCGCGCUCUGCUCUGGCUGUGUCGAAACUGGCGUCGGCGAGCCCGGAGGCGCUGGAUCCGGACCACCACCAACAACCUCAUCUCUUGGGGUCGAGCGUGGUGGCGACGGAGCAGGGAUGGAGUCCGGCAAGGGCGGUGCAGACCGGCCACGGGGCUCGCUAGAGAAGGAGUUGAGGGAUGGCAGCGGCAGCAAGGCCAUGGAGGCAGGGUCGACGGAGUGGCGGACGGCAGAGCAGGGCCUUGGCGGCUUGGCUGUAGGCGGGCGCUCGAUGCGUCGUUCCCGCGCAACAGAAGCAGGGGAGGCCGCGGGGUCUUGGAUGGCGACGCGGGACCUGGCGGCAGCUUGGCGCGGGCGCCGGGGCCGCCGGAGUUGGCCCCUCUGGUGGUAGCGUGCGGAGGCACGACGCGGAAGGGAGGAGGGCGGCGCUCGAGGUCGCUGACGUCUGGCAAGGCCGCAUCGAGGGAGCCGAACGGAGGCGGGCGACGGGAGGCUGCAGGGGCGACGCGCUCGGGGAGAGGGAGAGUAGGGAUCGGGAACGAGGGGGAUGGAGCUCGCGGGCGCCAUUGACACCAUGGUUCUUCAGAUAAGUGCUGGUGUUGCUUCUUCAGAUAGCACAUGUAUCAAUUGCCAUCUUCAUCCGUGGAAUGAUGUUGUAUCUAUGAUGUGCUCUUGGUCUGUUGCAAUUUGUAACUGAUGUGUGUUGUUUCUUCAGUUAAGUGGCAUGGAUCAUCGAGGCGGCUACAUUUUCUGCACUGCUGUCCAGUGGAUCAUCUCCAAGUCCUCCAGUUCUGAUCAUCUACAGCGUCGUACUCAAGUUUCAUUCCACUCACCCUAGUGAGCAGAGCAGCAACUCCUUACAGUACACUGAUCAUAUUCAGCACAGGAAGCAGAGGAGCAACUCCUUACGGUACCUUCUUCCUCCUGACGAGCAGGAGCUCUGGCGGCAGCACGGGCAAACGAGCAGCAGCAGUACUAGUAGAUGAGCAGAAGCUGUACGGGCAGAGGAGCUCCACCGGCGGUAGGGGAGAAGCAGCCGCACGGGCGCGCGGGCAGAGGAGAAGGAGCUGCACGGGCUCGCCUGGGAGAUUGAGGAGGACGCACGGGAGAUCGAGGAGGCAGCGCGCGAGCUCUUGGUCCACCGGAUCGUGGAGGCAAUUUUCGGCGACGCCCGUAGGGGAUCGCAGCCGGGAGGAAUUGCGGCGGCGCACACGCGGGUGCUCAAGGAGGAUGCGCUGGAGCUUGACGAGGAUGUGCUGGAGCUCGAGGUGGACGCCGUGAGCUCGAGGAGGACGUGGCCGGAGGUCCCGACGGCGCCCGCAGGUAAUCGAGGCAGGGCGGCGAUGCAGGUCUGAGUGGGGGAGGCGGCGGAGCAGGUACUUGGCGACGGCGGCGGCGGAGCAGGUACUUGGCGACGGCGGCGGCGGAGCAGGUACUUGGCGACGGCGGCGGAGCACUUCCUGAUGGGCGGAGAUGACGACGACGGCAACAGCUGGGCAGCGCCGGCCCCUAUCGACGACUUAGGAAGAAGACAGGGGGCGGAGGGGCUUCUUGCAGACGAUUUUAAAACUACGAGGGCUUUUUUGCAAAAUCACCAAUGAACUGCGCCCGCAACAUGUUUUUCGGGACGGAGGGAGUAAUACUUUGUAAGGUCCUCGAGAUAAUCAAUAAAGUGGCCGUAUGCAUCUCCCAGAUGCAGAGGCCGGGGUCAUCCUCCUUUUCUAAAAAAAAAAGCACUGCCGCCACCGCUUCACGGUGAUGGCCUGCUGACUUGCGGCACCCAUCCCUCCGGUUGGUUCUUCACCCCCAUAUUUAAGUGUAGUUUUUUGUUGUAGAAACUUGUGAAUUUUCUUAUAACUUGAUCAAGAAUUUGAGAACAGCAUCCCUAGCUGGCUUACCCAAUGGAAAAGCUUGUGAUUGUGGACUA